GGUGGCUCCACAUUAGAAGCAUCCUAUGUAGCUGUUCUGGCUGCAGCUGCCCAAGUCUGCCUGGGCCUCCUGCAUGAGGUCACGAGUCUUAAUAAAGCCACUGACCCACACAUUUGGAAUCGUACUGACUUUUCACAACUAACAGCCAACACAUUGCCAAGAAGCAAUUCAAUUGUUGAGGAUAUCACAUCAUGCCAGGGAAAGAGAGAUGGAAUUCAGAAAGCCUGGGAUAUUGCAGGGCAUUAGUUCUUGGCGAGAUGUAUGGGGUUGGAGAGGACAGAAGCCAGCAGCUCCCAGUGCAGCAGCAAGGCUGGCCCACGUGAGCACCUGGAGCAUCAUUUCUGCUGCCACAUGCUUGGGCUGCCCCACCCCGCCGUGCCCUGCUCAGCCGUGCCCUGCUCCAUCUCCCUCGCCAGGCCUGAGACCGGCCCCCAUUGUGACUCCUGAGGUCUCUCAGCUGUCCCUCAACCUCCAGGAGAAUUGCUCUCCACUCCAGAAGCCGCCUGAUGGGGAGGCUGACCCCUCUCCAGGAAUGACUGAUCCAGGUUUAUCCUGACAGUAACCUCUCCCCAGGUCGGAAGACCUCUCAGGCUCUGUUUCUAGGGAGGCUGACCUGCUGACAAUGCUCCUAGCUGGAUUUUGUAAGUGGUCUUGAAUAAAGUCUUCCUUACUGUUUUAACAAGAGACAGGGUAAUGUUCAUUGAAUAUCUUAUACAAAGAGGAAAUCUGGCACAGAAGUGGACACGCACUCGGAGGGAAAAUGCCAAGUGACAAUGAAGGCAGAGAUCAGGUGAUGCAUCUGCAAGCUGAGCAACAUCAGGAAUUGCCAAAAACCACCAGGAGCUGGAGAGGCCUGGGACAGAGCCUCCCAUGGAGCCUCAAGGGAGCCAGCCCUGCCCAUGGAGAGGCCUGGGACGGAGCCUCCCACGGAGCCUCAAGGGAGCCAGCCCUGCCCACGCCUUGAUCUUUGACGUCCGACCUCAAGAACUAUGAGAGAACCCAUUUCUGUUGGUGAAGACUCCCCGUCUGUGGUCCCCUAUCCUGGCAGCCCUGGGAAGCUGACCUCUGGUCCCUCUGCAUCCCUGGCAUCACUCUGCCUCCCCCUCUUUUUCUCCAGUGAAUCCGACACACUCUCAGUGAGACAGCCAGGUGGCAAGGGGUCCUCGGAGAAACUCCAGCCGGCCUGCUCACUGGGCAUGUACACUGGAGUAGAGCCACAGAAGUUCAUGGUGUUUGCAGCAGGGAGGAGCCUGGCCACUCCUCUUCCUGGUUGGAACCUGGGAUUUAUUUUGUGAGGCGGGAAGCCUAUACUGGGGAGACUCUUGUUCUGCUGAGUCACCAUUCCCCCUUUAUUUUCCUUUUUGCCCAAUAAAUCCUAUUAUUCUCAGUCUUCAAAUU
RNAcentral lists this long non-coding RNA (1398 nucleotides) under Pongo abelii (Sumatran orangutan). RNAcentral's name for it is "lincRNA". The record is from RNAcentral. Lineage: Eukaryota; Metazoa; Chordata; Mammalia; Primates; Hominidae.